Long non-coding RNA from Peromyscus eremicus (cactus mouse), 765 nucleotides. RefSeq lists it as uncharacterized. The record is from RefSeq and is a predicted model, not a curated record. NCBI's taxonomy places the organism in Eukaryota, Metazoa, Chordata, Mammalia, Rodentia, Cricetidae. The transcript is spliced from 2 exons.
CAUCAUCUUCUUCAGCUGACUCUCGGACACCGCCAUGGCGCGCGCCUCCGUCCCCGCAGGCAGAGGGUCAGCGCCACGGGGCCGCCCCAGGCCGCCAGACAAUCGCCGCCGCCCCGCCCCCGCCAAGCAGGAAGCCGGCGCGCCGUGCUUCCGCUUCCUGCGCGUCACUUCCGGGGUCGCCACUGCGGCUUGAGGCUGGGCUUGGGGUUUUAUCAGUUCCCACAGUUGCCGGCCGGGCAGUAAAAGCAACACCAAAAUCAUCUACAAAGAACUAAUGCUUAUCUCCUCAACUACCCCAAGUUUUGUGGUUCUGGGACCAAAAACUAUAAAACCUGCAUAUAGGGCAAGCACCUUACCACUGAGCUACAUCCCUAUCCUGAAUGUCCAAGGUUUAAUCCAGUGAACUCUGCUGGGAGUCUUCCUCAACACAUUACUUUUUUACUUUCUCCAACGUGGAUUGCUGAAGCUCACUUGUCAGUGUAACUACCUAGCGUCACACCAAGAAGGAGAUUACUUCCUUCCACCUCACAAACCACUGAGCUCCUCUCUCUACCCAGACGGAUUCCAAAUGCUCUGGACUUCACUGCACUUAGCACACUUGUAUUUACAUGAUAUUUUGUUAUUGUGUUCCCUUGCUAAUCUGUAAGUACCAGCAAGGCUUGUCCCUAAUCUGAGCAUGUUCUCCAAUAAAGUUUCCUUUGUGAGAAGUUCUUAAUAACCACUGGCUGAAUGACUAAAUAAAUAAACAUUGUCUUCAGCACAUAC